AAUACUUAUAUGCUAGAUGAUCAACCUUUUCUGAUCGAUUCCACAACGUUUCUUUCACAAUGCAAUCGCAUGACCAUAACUGGUCUUUAUCUUUAAGCCUGGGUUGUGUUUUAUAGGGCACUUAAGAAGCACACUUGUAGAUAAGUCAGAAAUCAGAAAUGGAGAGAUAUGUUCUGAUCUUUCAUAUGCCACCUCUCUAAAGGAAGGGCAUUUUCAUUAGUGGUGUAAGGUGUUUUUUUUCUUCCCUUCUUGUUAUAUUGGAGUAUGAUAGAAGAAUAGUUACAGUUAGAUUCAUGUCCAUCCUUUUUGCUUUUAGAAUUAAUUUUCAAGUUACAGGUUUGGUUCUUCCCCAUAUGAAGUGUAAUAAUGAUAACAAUAAUGAUAAUAAUCUGGAUUUAUAUAGAGCUCAAUACGUAAUACCAUCUCUAAGUGCUUUACAGCGCUGUUACCCCGGUCAUCAGAUUCAUUCAUGCACAAUGUGCACCAUCUCCACUCCCUGGGGAGUAUUCCUACCAUAUGGUCACUGUAAUGGCAUAUAUGGCAAUUACUAAACACAAUAUGUCACUCUACCAGGUCCCCAUUUCUAUCCUGGGUAUGGAGUGGCAUAUGUAGAUUAAUGCUUGCCGAAGGAAGUUAGUAAACAUGGGAGAGUAUAUAUAUAUAUGUACAUGCAUAGAGCAAUGGUUACUGCAAUGAUGCAAUCGCUAUCUAUCAAUUCUUUCCCAACCAUUACCCACCAUACAGGUAAAUGUAGUACUUAACCAUGAUAAUGUGGUCAGUGAGUAUUAUAAAAUUGGUUCAAGAAUGUAGCCAAUGAGAAGCGUCGAAAUGGAUGUUUUUGAAGCUUUUACCGACCUUGAAUUUUGUUGCGCAAGUUUUGUCCACUCCUGCAGACUGUCUUAAGCUACAUGUAAAGCCUGGGGCCCGUUUCUAGAAACCGUCAUUAGUCUGACUUCUUGACUAUCCCAUUGAAACGCGUUAAUUCUAUAACACACGUUUCAAUGGGAUACCGGUAAUCAAGAAGUUAGACAUAUGACGGUUUCUAGGAACGAGCCCCUGGUGUCCUGCGAUCACUGGACCAAAGAUAGGUGACAAUAGGUACCCAGAGUCCCUGUUUAGUGUAGGCUUAAUCCUCUUACCGUAAUCCAUAUCGACUCUUUCACCUUUCUUAAUAGACCAGUUCGCAGAUAAAGGUCACUUGUACAAAAUUAUAUAACCCACUGAGACUGCUCACGAAAGUUAUGUAACGGUAAUCAUUAUUCAUGCAUGCACACAUGAUACAUUCUAUUGGACACAAGUGACAGUAAUCCUUUCAAGAGGGCAAACAAAGAAUCACGUCGGUGUCUUUAGCUGUGACUAUUCCAAAUGGCACAAAGUGGGAUUUAUCUAUGUUUAAAAGAUCUGUGGAUAUUUAGGGUCACUGAUCUGAACCAUGGGCUAACUACGAACAGGGACCCAUUUCACAAAGCCUUUAUUCAAUGACAAAUGACAAAACUCAGUGACAAAUCUGCUGAUAACCAAUCAGAAGCAAGAAUUUCAGUAGCUUAUAACAAAAAUUGUCAUUCGUCAUUGAUGACAAGUUUUGUGAAACGCUCCCCUGGUCUAUUGGUAAUCACACCAUUUGUAAUGUGAUUGCAUACCAUGGAGCAUUAUACACACUACCCCUUGAUUAGCCCAUGCACCACAGCUCUCUGUGACAGUCUGCUGUUUCAGCUCAUUUCCUCAGCUUUUUGGUGAUGCUGUGGUUCAAGUUUUACAACUUGUAUUUUUAAAGAAAUUACAUACUCUGGCGAGAAUUGCUCUUGGGUCAUUUUU
RNAcentral lists this long non-coding RNA (1815 nucleotides) under Strongylocentrotus purpuratus (purple sea urchin). RNAcentral's name for it is "uncharacterized LOC115922943". The record is from RNAcentral. Lineage: Eukaryota; Metazoa; Echinodermata; Echinoidea; Camarodonta; Strongylocentrotidae.